GCGGCGGACGGGUGAGUCAUGCCUAGGAACCUGCCUGGUAGUGGGGGACAACGUUUCGAAAGGAACGCUAAUACCGCAUACGUCCUACGGGAGAAAGCAGGGGACCUUCGGGCCUUGCGCUAUCAGAUGAGCCUAGGUCGGAUUAGCUAGUUGGUGAGGUAAUGGCUCACCAAGGCGACGAUCCGUAACUGGUCUGAGAGGAUGAUCAGUCACACUGGAACUGAGACACGGUCCAGACUCCUACGGGAGGCAGCAGUGGGGAAUAUUGGACAAUGGGCGAAAGCCUGAUCCAGCCAUGCCGCGUGUGUGAAGAAGGUCUUCGGAUUGUAAAGCACUUUAAGUUGGGAGGAAGGGUUGUAGAUUAAUACUCUGCAAUUUUGACGUUACCGACAGAAUAAGCACCGGCUAACUCUGUGCCAGCAGCCGCGGUAAUACAGAGGGUGCAAGCGUUAAUCGGAAUUACUGGGCGUAAAGCGCGCGUAGGUGGUUCGUUAAGUUGGAUGUGAAAUCCCCGGGCUCAACCUGGGAACUGCAUCCAAAACUGGCGAGCUAGAGUAUGGGUAGAGGGUGGUGGAAUUUUCCUGUGUAGCGGUGAAAUGCGUAGAUAUAGGAAGGAACACCAGUGGCGAACGCGGAGCACCUGGACUGAGUACUGACACUGAGUGCGAAAGCGUGGGGAGCGAAACAGAUUAGGAUGACGCC
This 702-nucleotide ribosomal RNA is filed under the name Pseudomonas koreensis. RNAcentral's name for it is "bacterial SSU rRNA". It matches the Rfam family "Bacterial small subunit ribosomal RNA", at positions 95 to 786 of the family's 1533-position model. The record is from RNAcentral. Lineage: Bacteria; Pseudomonadati; Pseudomonadota; Gammaproteobacteria; Pseudomonadales; Pseudomonadaceae.